Long non-coding RNA from Triticum dicoccoides, 172 nucleotides. RefSeq lists it as uncharacterized. The transcript is spliced from 3 exons. The record is from RefSeq and is a predicted model, not a curated record. NCBI's taxonomy places the organism in Eukaryota, Viridiplantae, Streptophyta, Magnoliopsida, Poales, Poaceae.
GAAUAAACGUGUUAGGCCUCUAUACAAGCUAUAUCUUUUCAUCAGCAGAUACCAAUCACAUUAUUCGGGGCCCUUCUCGUGGAUAGGUGUGGAAGGAGAACCCUUCUACUGGUGUCUUCAUCUGGCACAUUUGUGGGCUGCUUUCUUACUGGGCUAUCAUUCUACUUUAAGG